AUACGUAGGGGGCGAGCGUUGUCCGGAUUUAUUGGGCGUAAAGGGUGCGUAGGCGGCCUUGUAAGUCAGAUGUGAAAGAUCAUGGCUUAACUGUGGUAAGCAUUUGAAACUGCAGGGCUUGAGUACAGGAGAGGAGAGUGGAAUUCCUAGUGUAGCGGUGAAAUGCGUAGAUAUUAGGAGGAAUACCAGUGGCGAAGGCGACUCGCUGUGCUACUACUGACGCUGAGGCACGAAAGAGUGGGGAGCAAACAGGAUUAGAUACCCUGGUAGACCACGCUAUAAACGAUGAGUGCUAGGUGUCGGGGGUCAAACCUCGGUGCCGCAGUUAACACAUUAAGCACUCCGCCUGGGGAGUACGGCCGCAAGGCUGAAACUCAAAUGAAUUGGCGGGG
RNAcentral lists this ribosomal RNA (392 nucleotides) under uncultured bacterium. Its description in RNAcentral is "partial 16S ribosomal RNA". It matches the Rfam family "Bacterial small subunit ribosomal RNA", at positions 523 to 918 of the family's 1533-position model. The record is from RNAcentral.